CCUACGGGAGGCAGCAGUGGGGAAUAUUGGACAAUGGGGGCAACCCUGAUCCAGCCAUGCCGCGUGUGUGAAGAAGGCCCUCGGGUUGUAAAGCACUUUCAGUGAGGAAGAACGCCUGGUGGUUAAUACCCAUCAGGAAAGACAUCACUCUCAGAAGAAGCACCGGCUAACUCCGUGCCAGCAGCCGCGGUAAUACGGAGGGUGCGAGCGUUAAUCGGAAUUACUGGGCGUAAAGCGCGCGUAGGUGGCUUGAUAAGCCGGUUGUGAAAGCCCCGGGCUCAACCUGGGAACGGCAUCCGGAACUGUCAAGCUAGAGUGCAGGAGAGGAAGGUAGAAUUCCCGGUGUAGCGGUGAAAUGCGUAGAGAUCGGGAGGAAUACCAGUGGCGAAGGCGGCCUUCUGGACUGACACUGACACUGAGGUGCGAAAGCGUGGGUAGCAAACAGGAUUAGAUACCCUGGUAGUC
Molecule: ribosomal RNA, 465 nt
Filed under: Vreelandella stevensii
Lineage: Bacteria; Pseudomonadati; Pseudomonadota; Gammaproteobacteria; Oceanospirillales; Halomonadaceae
Description: partial 16S ribosomal RNA
Rfam family: Bacterial small subunit ribosomal RNA
Source: RNAcentral